UGGCAUGGAGCCAAAUUAAACUUAAUGAUUUGCUUCAGUCACCAGAGGAUAUAGAGAGGCUUUACUCUGAAGUUCAUCUGCUUAGCACCCUCAAUCACCCUUCUAUCAUGAAAUUCUAUACUUCUUGGAUCGAUGUCGAGAAAAGGACCUUCAAUUUCAUUACUGAGAUGUUCACUUCCGGUACUCUCCGAGGGUAAUGCCUCUAUUCCCUGUCUAUCAUUAUUUUUAUUCGAAUUGCGAUGAUUUAAAGUUGUGCUGUUAGUAUCUGGAAAGUUAUAUGCAGUGACGAAUCUAGAGUCGGUGGGUUCUAAUCGUUAAAUUAACUAUGUGUCGCUCUUUAGCGCGAGAGUUUGAGUCUCUUGUAUCUACCGUUCCAGCACCAACGCAUCCUGAAAGUGAAUCGUAUUCCAAGAAUAUGAUCUGUCUAUUAUGGUGUAUGGAAUAUAUGACAAAGAUGGUAUCUAUUGAUUGGUCAUGUCAUAUACAACGGAUCUAGGAUUUCAAUUAGGGGAUUUGAAAAAUAAAAAUAUAGUGCUAGAAUUUGACAAAGAUGGUAUCUAUUGAUUGGUCAUGUCAUAUACAACGGAUCUAGGAUUGGGAAAAGGGGCAAUGAAAACAGUAUAUAGGGCAAUUGAUGAAUUGCUAGGUAUGGAAGUGGCAUGGAGCCAAAUUAAACUUAAUGAUUUGCUUCAGUCACCAGAGGAUAUAGAGAGGCUUUACUCUGAAGUUCAUCUGCUUAGCACCCUCAAUCACCCUUCUAUCAUGAAAUUCUAUACUUCUUGGAUCGAUGUCGAGAAAAGGACCUUCAAUUUCAUUACUGAGAUGUUCACUUCCGGUACUCUCCGAGGGUAAUGCCUCUAUUCCCUGUCUAUCAUUAUUUUUAUUCGAAUUGCGAUGAUUUAAAGUUGUGCUGUUAGUAUCUGGAAAGUUAUAUGCAGUGACGAAUCUAGAGUCGGUGGGUUCUAAUCGUUAAAUUAACUAUGUGUCGCUCUUUAGCGCGAGAGUUUGAGUCUCUUGUAUCUACCGUUCCAG
RNAcentral lists this long non-coding RNA (1032 nucleotides) under Capsicum annuum. RNAcentral's name for it is "long non-coding RNA (CANN_LNC009111)". The record is from RNAcentral. Lineage: Eukaryota; Viridiplantae; Streptophyta; Magnoliopsida; Solanales; Solanaceae.